GAUGAACGCUGGCGGCGUGCUUAACACAUGCAAGUCGAACGGUGAAGCAGAGCUUGCUCUGUGGAUCAGUGGCGAACGGGUGAGUAACACGUGAGCAACCUGCCCCGGACUCUGGGAUAAGCGCUGGAAACGGCGUCUAAUACCGGAUACGAGACAAGANGGCAUCGUCAUUGUCUGGAAAGAUUUUUUGGUCUGGGAUGGGCUCGCGGCCUAUCAGCUUGUUGGUGAGGUAAUGGCUCACCAAGGCGUCGACGGGUAGCCGGCCUGAGAGGGUGACCGGCCACACUGGGACUGAGACACGGCCCAGACUCCUACGGGAGGCAGCAGUGGGGAAUAUUGCACAAUGGGCGAAGAGCCUGAUGCAGCAACGCCGCGUGAGGGAUGACGGCCUUCGGGUUGUAAACCUCUUUUAGCAGGGAAGAAGCGAAAGUGACGGUACCUGCAGAAAAAGCGCCGGCUAACUACGUGCCAGCAGCCGCGGUAAUACGUAGGGCGCAAGCGUUAUCCGGAAUUAUUGGGCGUAAAGAGCUCGUAGGCGGUUUGUCGCGUCUGCUGUGAAAUCCCGAGGCUCAACCUCGGGCCUGCAGUGGGUACGGGCAGACUAGAGUGCGGUAGGGGAGAUUGGAAUUCCUGGUGUAGCGGUGGAAUGCGCAGAUAUCAGGAGGAACACCGAUGGCGAAGGCAGAUCUCUGGGCCGUAACUGACGCUGAGGAGCGAAAGGGUGGGGAGCAAACAGGCUUAGAUACCCUGGUAGUCCACCCCGUAAACGUUGGGAACUAGUUGUGGGGUCCAUUCCACGGAUUCCGUGACGCAGCUAACGCAUUAAGUUCCCCGCCUGGGGAGUACGGCCGCAAGGCUAAAACUCAAAGGAAUUGACGGGGACCCGCACAAGCGGCGGAGCAUGCGGAUUAAUUCGAUGCAACGCGAAGAACCUUACCAAGGCUUGACAUAUACGAGAACACUUCAGAAAUGAAGGACUCUUUGGACACUCGUAUACAGGUGGUGCAUGGUUGUCGUCAGCUCGUGUCGUGAGAUGUUGGGUUAAGUCCCGCAACGAGCGCAACCCUCGUUCUAUGUUGCCAGCACGUAAUGGUGGGAAC
RNAcentral lists this ribosomal RNA (1100 nucleotides) under Microbacterium sp. M446. Its description in RNAcentral is "bacterial SSU rRNA". It matches the Rfam family "Bacterial small subunit ribosomal RNA", at positions 28 to 1138 of the family's 1533-position model. The record is from RNAcentral. Lineage: Bacteria; Bacillati; Actinomycetota; Actinomycetes; Micrococcales; Microbacteriaceae.